AAAAAAAUUGGGUUCAAUUUUUCUCAUUUGAAAUUUCAUAAAUAAAAAAGAAAAUUUCUUCAAACAUUUUUUUGAGAGGAUUAAUAUUCAACAGCAUAGUGAAUUGCUCUAAGAGAAAACAAAAAUUUUAAGUUCAUUAGAACACAUUCAUUCUGUGUCAGAAACCAAUGCUGUGUCAACUAUUUAAUCACAAUCCAAAUUUAGAGCUGAAUCCAGCUUGAAUGUUGUGUCCAUACUUGCCCCAACUGUUCAGGGUUCAACCUCUGCGGUCGUAUAAAGCUACGCCCUGCGGAGCAUCUGGUUUUAUAUUAAACUUAUUU
RNAcentral lists this long non-coding RNA (320 nucleotides) under Mytilus galloprovincialis (Mediterranean mussel). Lineage: Eukaryota; Metazoa; Mollusca; Bivalvia; Mytilida; Mytilidae. The record is from RNAcentral.